Molecule: ribosomal RNA, 115 nt
Filed under: Danio rerio (zebrafish)
Lineage: Eukaryota; Metazoa; Chordata; Actinopteri; Cypriniformes; Danionidae
Source: RNAcentral
GCUGGCAGCUAGCUCUCUGCAACUCUCACAUGGUCGCCCACUGAAGCUAAGCAGGGCUGAGCCUGGUCAGUACCUGGAUGGGAGACCACAUGGGAAAGCUAGGUUGCUGCUGGAA